GAGAGAGGAGAGCAGGCAGGGAACAGCAGCUCAGUCCACAGCCUACACGUCGCUCACAAGGAGCGGAAACAUGUCCAGCGGGAACAAAAAACAGAGGAGCUCGUGUUUACAUUCUCCUCCGUUAAACGUCACGUUUCUGAUACUUUGUAUCGAACCUAAGCGCACGCGCCAAAACACCGUGGUACAGAUUUACAGCCCCUGUUCUCUUCCGCUCCCUUUCCUCACGCGCUUCUCUCCCUCUCACUGGUUUCUUUUGGCAACGAGAUGUUUCUGCGGUCCCAACUGCAACCCACUGCUCACAUUUGACCCGUUGUGCCCCGUUUCAGAUUCGUUCCAGACCCGGGAGAUGAAAUGAGCUCACAGCUUCCCGGUGGUUAUCUCCUGCGAACUUACAACACGAACAGUGUGUCCCGACUUUCCCAAAGUGGAUCCAUACUCCAUACAACAAAAAAAAACAAACAAA
Long non-coding RNA from Poecilia latipinna (sailfin molly), 463 nucleotides. RefSeq lists it as uncharacterized. The record is from RefSeq and is a predicted model, not a curated record. Lineage: Eukaryota; Metazoa; Chordata; Actinopteri; Cyprinodontiformes; Poeciliidae. The transcript is spliced from 3 exons.